GAAUUAAAAAGCAUCUUCAUUUGCCCACCCUAGGUCCAGACUAUCCAGCAGCAACAUAAAACUCAUAACAUCAAGCAAGCAAGCGAAUUCAAAUGAAACUUCAUGGAAACAUCUAUAACAUUCAUCAGUCUACAACCACAUUGCCAUAACAGAUGCGUAAGGUGAACAUCAGCAGGUCUCGGAGGAGAACACUCUAAUGUCGAGGAGGAGACAAACAAGCCCCCAGUCCAUAAAACAAGGUGCUUCAACACAGUUCACGGAAUUUCGUAUGACAUCAAUCAGGUUGACGCAGAAGGGGCCUCGGCCAUCUCUUGCUCGACAGGAGCCGCCUGGACUGGG
Molecule: long non-coding RNA, 339 nt
Filed under: Triticum aestivum (bread wheat)
Lineage: Eukaryota; Viridiplantae; Streptophyta; Magnoliopsida; Poales; Poaceae
Description: long non-coding RNA (TAES_LNC015608)
Source: RNAcentral